GUCGAGCGAACAGACGAGGAGCUUGCUCCUCUGACGUUAGCGGCGGACGGGUGAGUAACACGUGGAUAACCUACCUAUAAGACUGGGACAACUUCGGGAAACCGGAGCUAAUACCGGAUAAUAUAUUGAACCGCAUGGUUCAAUAGUGAAAGACGGUUUUGCUGUCACUUAUAGAUGGAUCCGCGCCGCAUUAGCUAGUUGGUAAGGUAACGGCUUACCAAGGCAACGAUGCGUAGCCGACCUGAGAGGGUGAUCGGCCACACUGGAACUGAGACACGGUCCAGACUCCUACGGGAGGCAGCAGUAGGGAAUCUUCCGCAAUGGGCGAAAGCCUGACGGAGCAACGCCGCGUGAGUGAUGAAGGUCUUCGGAUCGUAAAACUCUGUUAUUAGGGAAGAACAAAUGUGUAAGUAACUAUGCACGUCUUGACGGUACCUAAUCAGAAAGCCACGGCUAACUACGUGCCAGCAGCCGCGGUAAUACGUAGGUGGCAAGCGUUAUCCGGAAUUAUUGGGCGUAAAGCGCGCGUAGGCGGUUUUUUAAGUCUGAUGUGAAAGCCCACGGCUCAACCGUGGAGGGUCAUUGGAAACUGGAAAACUUGAGUGCAGAAGAGGAAAGUGGAAUUCCAUGUGUAGCGGUGAAAUGCGCAGAGAUAUGGAGGAACACCAGUGGCGAAGGCGACUUUCUGGUCUGUAACUGACGCUGAUGUGCGAAAGCGUGGGGAUCAAACAGGAUU
This 736-nucleotide ribosomal RNA is filed under the name uncultured Staphylococcus sp. Its description in RNAcentral is "bacterial SSU rRNA". It matches the Rfam family "Bacterial small subunit ribosomal RNA", at positions 61 to 779 of the family's 1533-position model. Lineage: Bacteria; Bacillati; Bacillota; Bacilli; Caryophanales; Staphylococcaceae. The record is from RNAcentral.